CAGCCGCCGCGGUAAUACGGAGGGGGCUAGCGUUGUUCGGAAUUACUUGGCGUAAAGCGUGCGUAGGCGGUUCGUUAAGUCUGUUGUGAAAGCCCCGGGCUCAACCUGGGAAUGGCAAUGGAUACUGGCGAGCUAGAGUGUGUCAGAGGAUGGUGGAAUUCCCGGUGUAGCGGUGAAAUGCGUAGAGAUCGGGAGGAACAUCAGUGGCGAAGGCGGCCAUCUGGGACAACACUGACGCUGAGGCACGAAAGCGUGGGGAGCAAACAGGAUUAGAUACCCCAGUAGUCCCUGUCUCUUAUAC
Molecule: ribosomal RNA, 301 nt
Filed under: uncultured bacterium
Lineage: Bacteria
Description: partial 16S ribosomal RNA
Rfam family: Bacterial small subunit ribosomal RNA
Source: RNAcentral